Molecule: long non-coding RNA, 556 nt
Organism: Coregonus clupeaformis (lake whitefish)
Lineage: Eukaryota; Metazoa; Chordata; Actinopteri; Salmoniformes; Salmonidae
Exons: 3
Source: RefSeq, a predicted model, not a curated record
CCCCCGUGUUGAGGAUCAGCGUGGCAGAUGUGUUGUUGCCUACCCUUACCAGAUUCCAACCAUGACCAUCCAUCUUCAGAUCCAUGAGCCGAUAUCCAAGGUGGCGAUCCAGAAGAAGAUGUAGCUAUUGGCCAACCAGUCCUGUUCAGUGUGGCUGCUGUGCAACGUGUCAGUCUGCUCCAACCUCUCCUACACCUGGGAGAGAGGGAAUGAGACGUACAGGGACGACCAGCAGAUACACUUCUCUCUGUCACCAGCAGACGGAGACAUCAGUGUAACCUGCUACGCCUCCGACUCAGUCAGUUGGAAAUCUGCAUCUACAACAGUAAAGUGUAGUAAUGACACAACAACCCCAGCAGAUCUAACUGACAACACAAGAAUGAAAGAUGUAAGUAUGCAGUAAACUACCAGAAUUUUGGUAACUUUCAAGAAUUGUAUGUAAUUUAUCACUAGACAACUAGAGCCCCUUUUGGUAUUUCAGAUGAUCACAGGUGUCUGUAAUUAUCUCUGGCCCUCUGUGUGGCCUUAUCACGUAAAAUAUAUGAAAUAACUAAAU